CAAGUCGAGCGGGGGAGGUUGCUUCGGUAACUGACCUAGCGGCGGACGGGUGAGUAAUGCUUAGGAAUCUGCCUAUUAGUGGGGGACAACAUUCCGAAAGGAAUGCUAAUACCGCAUACGCCCUACGGGGGAAAGCAGGGGAUCUUCGGACCUUGCGCUAAUAGAUGAGCCUAAGUCGGAUUAGCUAGUUGGUGGGGUAAAGGCCUACCAAGGCGACGAUCUGUAGCGGGUCUGAGAGGAUGAUCCGCCACACUGGGACUGAGACACGGCCCAGACUCCUACGGGAGGCAGCAGUGGGGAAUAUUGGACAAUGGGCGCAAGCCUGAUCCAGCCAUGCCGCGUGUGUGAAGAAGGCCUUUUGGUUGUAAAGCACUUUAAGCGAGGAGGAGGCUCCUUUAGUUAAUACCUAAAGUGAGUGGACGUUACUCGCAGAAUAAGCACCGGCUAACUCUGUGCCAGCAGCCGCGGUAAUACAGAGGGUGCGAGCGUUAAUCGGAUUUACUGGGCGUAAAGCGUGCGUAGGCGGCUUUUUAAGUCGGAUGUGAAAUCCCUGAGCUUAACUUAGGAAUUGCAUUCGAUACUGGAAAGCUAGAGUAUGGGAGAGGAUGGUAGAAUUCCAGGUGUAGCGGUGAAAUGCGUAGAGAUCUGGAGGAAUACCGAUGGCGAAGGCAGCCAUCUGGCCUAAUACUGACGCUGAGGUACGAAAGCAUGGGGAGCAAACAGGAUUAGAUACCCUGGUAGUCCAUGCCGUAAACGAUGUCUACUAGCCGUUGGGGCCUUUGAGGCUUUAGUGGCGCAGCUAAC
RNAcentral lists this ribosomal RNA (804 nucleotides) under uncultured Acinetobacter sp. RNAcentral describes it as "bacterial SSU rRNA". It matches the Rfam family "Bacterial small subunit ribosomal RNA", at positions 58 to 856 of the family's 1533-position model. The record is from RNAcentral. Lineage: Bacteria; Pseudomonadati; Pseudomonadota; Gammaproteobacteria; Moraxellales; Moraxellaceae.